GGGGAUGAAAGGAUUUCGACGGGGAUUAAGAAGUAUCAUAAGCAUGCGGCGGCGCUCGACCGCCUCAACAACGGGCAACUUAAAAAUUAAAGGACAAAGAAGAAACUGUUCUUUGCGCUGCUUAAUCAAUAGCAGUGCCAUCUGACCGGGUUACCGCGCCCCGGGGUUCAGGUGUGAGUAGCGGUAAAGGUGAACAGGUGAGCGGCUCGUAGCCUGUCAUCCAUCAGAGCCUACCAAUCCCGGCAGCUUGUUUGCGAGCGGCAGGGAAAGGGAAUGCCAAAGCACAAACUAAGCAUGUAGAAAGUGAUAUGGGCGAAUUUUCGGACGCGGUUUCGAUUACCGCCAUCUCCACCA
This 354-nucleotide transfer-messenger RNA is filed under the name Acutalibacteraceae. RNAcentral's name for it is "RUG714 sp900321665 Standard tmRNA". It matches the Rfam family "transfer-messenger RNA". From Rfam's summary of the family: Bacterial tmRNA, also known as 10Sa RNA or SsrA, is named for its dual tRNA and mRNA-like properties. Its role is to liberate the mRNA from a stalled ribosome. To accomplish this part of the tmRNA is used as a reading frame that ends in a translation stop signal. RNAcentral also lists the same sequence under 1 other name. The record is from RNAcentral. Lineage: Bacteria; Bacillati; Bacillota; Clostridia; Eubacteriales.